AUUGAACGCUGGCGGCAUGCUUUACACAUGCAAGUCGGACGGCAGCACAGAGAAGCUUGCUUCUUGGGUGGCGAGUGGCGAACGGGUGAGUAACAUAUCGGAACGUACCGAGCAGUGGGGGAUAACUGAUCGAAAGAUUAGCUAAUACCGCAUAUAUUCUGAGGAAGAAAGCAGGGGACCAUUUGGCCUUGCGCUGUUUGAGCGGCCGAUAUCUGAUUAGCUAGUUGGUGGGGUAAAGGCCUACCAAGGCGACGAUCAGUAGCGGGUCUGAGAGGAUGAUCCGCCACACUGGGACUGAGACACGGCCCAGACUCCUACGGGAGGCAGCAGUGGGGAAUUUUGGACAAUGGGCGCAAGCCUGAUCCAGCCAUGCCGCGUGUCUGAAGAAGGCCUUCGGGUUGUAAAGGACUUUUGUCAGGGAAGAAAAGGGUGGGGUUAAUACCCCUGUCUGAUGACG
RNAcentral lists this ribosomal RNA (457 nucleotides) under Neisseria mucosa. RNAcentral's name for it is "bacterial SSU rRNA". It matches the Rfam family "Bacterial small subunit ribosomal RNA", at positions 30 to 484 of the family's 1533-position model. The record is from RNAcentral. Lineage: Bacteria; Pseudomonadati; Pseudomonadota; Betaproteobacteria; Neisseriales; Neisseriaceae.